UCGAACAAGGAGGGAGGACUCGUGUCGCUGGCCCUGGAUGCACCGGUCCUUCUUCCCUUUCACACACACACACUUGUGCACACAUUUGUAGGUCCUCGAGAGAGGAUCUAUGUCUUUCACCAUCCCAACCAACGUAUGUCUAGAAUGUCAAUAAUAAAUUA
Molecule: unclassified non-coding RNA, 161 nt
Filed under: uncultured Tylopilus
Lineage: Eukaryota; Fungi; Basidiomycota; Agaricomycetes; Boletales; Boletaceae
Description: sequence contains ITS1
Source: RNAcentral